Molecule: non-coding RNA, 380 nt
Organism: Pelobates cultripes (western spadefoot toad)
Lineage: Eukaryota; Metazoa; Chordata; Amphibia; Anura; Pelobatidae
Source: the annotation of a GenBank genome assembly
AGCAAAAGUUAGGUUAAAGUUUAACAUUUUUCUCUUUUAUUGUGCACAACAUAUUAAUUUUUUUUUAUUUUAAGAGAUACAUUCCCAUAAAGAACAGUGUUCACUUAUUUGUAUGUUGUGCCAAAACAAUUCUACAGUACUCCGCCAGUGAUGCAGUUACCAGUGAUGGAAAACGGUUUUGCAGCAAACUAGUCCGAUGUAUUUGUAGUGGUCCUCGGAAUAAACUGCUAGGGGAGAGACACUUUCCAUUAUUCUAUGAUUAUAGCCUUACAUUCUGUAAACAUGGUACUAAACAUUGUGCUACAACAAUUCAAAGAAACGUGGACAGCUCUGUCAAAAUUAUCAACAAAAAUUAGAAAGAUUUAUAAUGUUAACUGCUG